Molecule: long non-coding RNA, 266 nt
Filed under: Elaeis guineensis (African oil palm)
Lineage: Eukaryota; Viridiplantae; Streptophyta; Magnoliopsida; Arecales; Arecaceae
Description: long non-coding RNA (EGUI_LNC031724)
Source: RNAcentral
AGCCAAAGUAGAGCAAAAAGUCAAAAGUUAACAAGAGCCAGACAAAAUACUUCUUUUGCAAGAAGUUGGAUCAUUGGAAAAUGAAUUAUCCUGCUUAUAUAGCUAUCCUUGACUCAAACAGACCUGAGAACAAGAGAAUCAAGCAAUCGGUUGCUUCACAAAGUACUUAUAUGAUCACUCCUUAUAAUUUUUCUAUUUGUGAUACUACUACCUGGGUAUUAGAUACCGAAAGUCCAAUUAAUAUUUGUAAGUCGUUGUAGGGACUG